GUGAGACCUGGGGACAGGGAAGAGUGCCACUAUGCUUACGCUCAUGCUGUCUGCUAUGCUGAGCACCUCCCUCCCCAGUUGUGACAACCAACAAUGAUUCCAGAUAUUACCAAACGUCCUGUGGAAGACACAAUUACUCUUGCUCUGCACGGUUGAAGUUUUACCUUUAAAGUGUCAUUUGGACAACUGCCUAAUGACUAUUAGAACAUCGGCAAUUUGGUUGCAAAAUUAGGAGCAAUAGUAACUCACUGUGACAUUUGU
Panthera uncia (snow leopard) is the source of this 261-nucleotide long non-coding RNA. RefSeq lists it as uncharacterized. NCBI's taxonomy places the organism in Eukaryota, Metazoa, Chordata, Mammalia, Carnivora, Felidae. The transcript is spliced from 3 exons. The record is from RefSeq and is a predicted model, not a curated record.